GCUUACACAUGCAAGUCGAACGAUGAAGCCCUUCGGGGUGGAUUAGUGGCGAACGGGUGAGUAACACGUGGGCAAUCUGCCCUGCACUCUGGGACAAGCCCUGGAAACGGGGUCUAAUACCGGAUAUGACACGGGAUCGCAUGAUCUUCGUGUGGAAAGCUCCGGCGGUGCAGGAUGAGCCCGCGGCCUAUCAGCUUGUUGGUGAGGUAGUGGCUCACCAAGGCGACGACGGGUAGCCGGCCUGAGAGGGCGACCGGCCACACUGGGACUGAGACACGGCCCAGACUCCUACGGGAGGCAGCAGUGGGGAAUAUUGCACAAUGGGCGAAAGCCUGAUGCAGCGACGCCGCGUGAGGGAUGACGGCCUUCGGGUUGUAAACCUCUUUCAGCAGGGAAGAAGCGAAAGUGACGGUACCUGCAGAAGAAGCGCCGGCUAACUACGUGCCAGCAGCCGCGGUAAUACGUAGGGCGCAAGCGUUGUCCGGAAUUAUUGGGCGUAAAGAGCUCGUAGGCGGCUUGUCACGUCGGUUGUGAAAGCCCGGGGCUUAACCCCGGGUCUGCAGUCGAUACGGGCAGGCUAGAGUUCGGUAGGGGAGAUCGGAAUUCCUGGUGUAGCGGUGAAAUGCGCAGAUAUCAGGAGGAACACCGGUGGCGAAGGCGGAUCUCUGGGCCGAUACUGACGCUGAGGAGCGAAAGCGUGGGGAGCGAACAGGAUUAGAUACCCUGGUAGUCCAC
Molecule: ribosomal RNA, 735 nt
Filed under: Streptomyces sp. YIM 63585
Lineage: Bacteria; Bacillati; Actinomycetota; Actinomycetes; Kitasatosporales; Streptomycetaceae
Description: bacterial SSU rRNA
Rfam family: Bacterial small subunit ribosomal RNA
Source: RNAcentral